GACGAACGCUGGCGGCGUGCCUAACACAUGCAAGUCGAGCGGGGUCCAUCCAGUGGCAACACUGGGGGAAGACCUAGCGGCGAACGGGUGAGUAACACGUGAGGAACUUGCCCCGGAGUACGGGAUAACUCGAGGAAACUCGAGCUAAUACCGUAUGCCCUCUUCUGGUCGCAUGGCCGGAUGAGGAAAGAUUCAUCGCUCCGGGAGAGCCUCGCGGCCUAUCAGCUAGUUGGUGGGGUAACGGCCCACCAAGGCAUCGACGGGUAGCUGGUCUGAGAGGACGAUCAGCCACACUGGGACUGAGACACGGCCCAGACUCCUACGGGAGGCAGCAGUGGGGAAUCUUGCGCAAUGGGCGAAAGCCUGACGCAGCAACGCCGCGUGCGGGAUGAAGGCCUC
RNAcentral lists this ribosomal RNA (399 nucleotides) under uncultured bacterium. RNAcentral describes it as "bacterial SSU rRNA". It matches the Rfam family "Bacterial small subunit ribosomal RNA", at positions 28 to 418 of the family's 1533-position model. The record is from RNAcentral.